GAUGAAGAACGUAGCGAAAUGCGAUAAGUAGUGUGAAUUGCAGAAUUCAGUGAAUCAUCGAAUCUUUGAACGCACAUUGCGCCCUUUGGUAUUCCUUAGGGCAUGCCUGUUCGAGCGUCAUUUAAACCUUCAAGCUCAGCUUGGUGAUGGGUAACUGUCCUCCCCUCGCGGGGGGACUCGCCUCAAAAACAUUGGCGGCCGGUACAUUGGCUUCGAGCGCAGCAGAAACGCGGUCUCGAGCCCGGUGGAUCGGCUCCCAUAAGUCUAUUCUUUUAUUUUGACCUCGGAUCAGGUAGGGAUACCCGCUGAACUUAAGCAUAUCAAUAAGCGGAGGA
Molecule: unclassified non-coding RNA, 335 nt
Filed under: soil metagenome
Description: partial contains 5.8S ribosomal RNA, internal transcribed spacer 2, and large subunit ribosomal RNA
Rfam family: 5.8S ribosomal RNA (bases 1-120)
Source: RNAcentral